This 216-nucleotide ribosomal RNA is filed under the name Glomeromycotina sp. Its description in RNAcentral is "partial small subunit ribosomal RNA". The stretch from base 40 to 216 matches the Rfam family "Eukaryotic small subunit ribosomal RNA", at positions 686 to 864 of the family's 1831-position model. Lineage: Eukaryota; Fungi; Glomeromycota. The record is from RNAcentral.
GGGUCAGUAGGUUGGUCGUGCCACCGGUACGUACUGGUCUCACUGAUUCCUCCUUCCUGAAUAACCGUAAUGCCAUUAAUUGGGUGUUGCGGGGAAACAGGACUGUUACUUUGAAAAAAUUAGAGUGUUUAAAGCAAGCUAACGCUUGAAUACAUUAGCAUGGAAUAAUGAAAUAGGACGAUCGAUCCUAUUUUGUUGGUUUCUAGGAUUGACGUA